AUGAAUGGACGUGGCUACCAGAAGCUGAAUGAAGCAAUGUUUACUUUUCUACCCAAGAUACCAGAUGCAUCAUCGCAUUUUGACUAUUGGUCCAUUAGUCUAAUCCAUCCCCUAGAGAAUCUAUUCACCAAAGUUCUCUCCUUAUGGAUUGCCCCUAGGUUUGGAUACAUAGUUUCUGCCAACCAAAGCUCGUUCAUCGCCGGUUGCGGCAUGCAUGAGAACUUCAUGCUGGUUCAACAAACUAUGAGACAACUACAUAACCUCAAGAACGCGUGUGUCCUCCCCAAUCUCAAGAUCAUGCUGGCGUUUGAUUGGGUGUCAUGGCCCUACAUCUUUGAGAUCUUGCAACACCUUGGCUUUGAAAAAAAGUGGAGCCCCUGGGUCUCCACACUCCUCUCAAGUUCCCUUAUGACAGUGCACAUCAACGACAUCCCUGCACCACUCAUAGAGCACGCAUGUGGCCAAUGGCAGGGCGCCCCCCUCUCGACCAUGCUAUUCAUCCUUAUCAUUGACGCCCUCAAUUCUGGGGUGCGGCAUGCCAUCCUCCACGGCGUCCUCUAG
Molecule: ribosomal RNA, 561 nt
Filed under: Triticum aestivum (bread wheat)
Lineage: Eukaryota; Viridiplantae; Streptophyta; Magnoliopsida; Poales; Poaceae
Description: partial small subunit ribosomal RNA
Source: RNAcentral